AGUGAACGCUGGCGGUAGGCCUAACACAUGCAAGUCGAACGGCAGCACAGUAAGAGCUUGCUCUUACGGGUGGCGAGUGGCGGGCGGGUGAGGAAUACAUCGGAAUCUACUUUUUCGGGGGGGAUAACGUAGGGAAACUUACGCUAAUACCGCAUACGACCUACGGGUGAAAGCAGGGGAUCUUCGGACCUUGCGCGAUUGAAUGAGCCGAUGUCGGAUUAGCUAGUUGGCGGGGUAAAGGCCCACCAAGGCGACGAUCCGUAGCUGGUCUGAGAGGAUGUUCAGCCACCCUGGAACUGAGACACGGUCCAGGCUCCUACGGGAGGCAGCAGUGGGGAAUAUUGGGCAAUGGGCGCAAGCCUGAUCCAGCCAUACCGCGUGGGUGAAGAAGGCCUUCGGGUUGUAAAGCCCUUUUGUUGGGAAAGAAAAGCAGCAGGUUAAUACCCCGCUGUUCUGACGGUACCCAAAGAAUAAGCACCGGCUAACUUCGUG
RNAcentral lists this ribosomal RNA (492 nucleotides) under uncultured bacterium. RNAcentral's name for it is "partial 16S ribosomal RNA". It matches the Rfam family "Bacterial small subunit ribosomal RNA", at positions 29 to 507 of the family's 1533-position model. The record is from RNAcentral.